GACGAACGCUGGCGGCGUGCCUAAUACAUGCAAGUCGAGCGAGCGGAACCAACAGAUUUACUUCGGUAAUGACGUUGGGAAAGCGAGCGGCGGAUGGGUGAGUAACACGUGGGGAACCUGCCCCUAAGUCUGGGAUACCAUUUGGAAACAGGUGCUAAUACCGGAUAAUAAAGCAGAUCGCAUGAUCAGCUUUUGAAAGGCGGCGUAAGCUGUCGCUAAGGGAUGGCCCCGCGGUGCAUUAGCUAGUUGGUAAGGUAACGGCUUACCAAGGCGACGAUGCAUAGCCGAGUUGAGAGACUGAUCGGCCACAUUGGGACUGAGACACGGCCCAAACUCCUACGGGAGGCAGCAGUAGGGAAUCUUCCACAAUGGACGCAAGUCUGAUGGAGCAACGCCGCGUGAGUGAAGAAGGUUUUCGGAUCGUAAAGCUCUGUUGUUGGUGAAGAAGGAUAGAGGUAGUAACUGGCCUUUAUUUGACGGUAAUCAACCAGAAAGUCACGGCUAACUACGUGCCAGCAGCCGCGGUAAUACGUAGGUGGCAAGCGUUGUCCGGAUUUAUUGGGCGUAAAGCGAGCGCAGGCGGAAAAAUAAGUCUAAUGUGAAAGCCCUCGGCUUAACCGAGGAACUGCAUCGGAAACUGUUUUUCUUGAGUGCAGAAGAGGAG
RNAcentral lists this ribosomal RNA (664 nucleotides) under uncultured Lactobacillus sp. Its description in RNAcentral is "bacterial SSU rRNA". It matches the Rfam family "Bacterial small subunit ribosomal RNA", at positions 28 to 659 of the family's 1533-position model. The record is from RNAcentral. Lineage: Bacteria; Bacillati; Bacillota; Bacilli; Lactobacillales; Lactobacillaceae.